Molecule: small RNA, 1031 nt
Filed under: Histoplasma capsulatum
Lineage: Eukaryota; Fungi; Ascomycota; Eurotiomycetes; Onygenales; Ajellomycetaceae
Also listed under: 1 other name
Description: hypothetical RNA
Source: RNAcentral
GAACAAAGUGUACUGGUUGCAUGAUGUAGAGUAACAUACUCAACCCCGAACUUCAGCCGUUUUAUGCAUUGCACAGCAGGCACAUCUAUCAUAUUUGAACUGGGCUUUACUCCGUACACAGAUUUUAUUUUAAUGUUUGCCAAAGCAGCCAGAAUUUGUCUUUUGUCGAAUUGCUUUUGGUGGAGGUAACCUUAUAAGCAAAUGAUGAUUGAAUCCCUCGAGAUUCUAGCGGGCGCCACCACCUUAGAUCUAUUGGGAGAUGUCAAUAAUAACGACAAUUUCCCAGCUCCCAUAUACGUCUCAAGAUGUAAUUGUCAGGAGGCGAGGUUGAUACACCGAAACGUGGAAAACUUCGAGGAGAUUCGAAUGUAACUGUAGUACCUUUCAUCCAGGCCAUGGGGCAACAUUCAAUGAACAAAUGGAGAAACCAAGAUUUGUACGCAAAAACUGCAUUCCCGUUGAUUAAUUGUCAUAUUAUGAUUAAUUCUCCUCAUGAAGCGUGAGUGGCCAGCAAGUCAGUGAAGCUAGGACAAUUACAAUUCCUAGCAUUAAACAAAGCGCGAACCCAGUGGUCAGUGGUCAAUGGUCAAUGGUCAAUGGUCAAUGGUCAAUGGUCAAUAAACAUGCUAAAAAUUUGGCACAUUGGAAUACGAGUGACUAAUGCCGCCCGUCCAGCGGAUCGAGAUUAGGGGAUCUGGUGAAGAUUCGCUGGCCUCGGUCAACAUGCAUCCAGCAAGAAUGGGCGGGACGCUGGAGACCCGAGGGAACUUGCAUUCUUCAGCGAUGCAUCUCCAGUGGGAUAAAUACGAGGGUUCGCUCCUUACCUGAAGACGAUCGAUACUAAAAAUAGUCGAGAAACGGGACCGAAAUAUUACGAUCAAAGGCGCAUGCUAAAGAUACGCCUUCCGUAUGGUUGAGUGCAAAUUACGUGCUGAGAAACAGGAUAGCGUUCAUUUCCAAGUCAGACAGUUGCUUUGGAUCGGUUGACCAAAUGAAUUCAUGACCCGUGCGGGGGAAUAAAACAAACCUGG